GAGUUUGAUCCUGGCUCAGAAUGAACGCUGGCGGCGUGCUUAACACAUGCAAGUUGAGCGGUAAGGCCCCUUCGGGGGUACACGAGCAGCGAACGGGUGAGUAACGCGUGGGUAAUCUACCUAGAGGUGGGGGAUAGCCUCGGGAAACCGGGGGUAAUACCGCAUGAGUCCUUUCCAACAUAAGUUGGAUUGGGGAAAGGCGGGGAUCUUAGGACCUGUCGCCUCUAGAUGAGCCCGCGUCCGAUUAGCUUGUUGGUGGGGUAAUGGCCUACCAAGGCAUCGAUCGGUAGCCGGCCUGAGAGGGUGAACGGCCACAUUGGGACUGAGACACGGCCCAGACUCCUACGGGAGGCAGCAGUGGGGAAUUUUGGGCAAUGGGGGAAACCCUGACCCAGCGACGCCGCGUGGAGGAUGAAGGCCUUCGGGUUGUAAACUCCUGUCAGGUGGGAAGAAGAGCUUUGUGGCUAAUAUCCACAAGGAAUUGACGGUACCACCAAAGGAAGCCCCGGCUAACUCCGUGCCAGCAGCCGCGGUAAUACGGGGGGGGCAAGCGUUAUUCGGAUUUACUGGGCGUAAAGCGCACGUAGGUGGCGAUGUAAGUCACAGGUGAAAGCCCUCGGCUCAACCGAGGAACUGCCUGCGAAACUGCAUUGCUUGAGUCCGGGAGGGGGGAGCGGAAUUCCAAGUGUAGCGGUGAAAUGCGUAGAUACUUGGAGGAACACCGGUGGCGAAGGCGGCUCCCUGGACCGGUACUGACACUGAGGUGCGA
Molecule: ribosomal RNA, 769 nt
Filed under: uncultured bacterium
Lineage: Bacteria
Description: bacterial SSU rRNA
Rfam family: Bacterial small subunit ribosomal RNA
Source: RNAcentral